CCAGAAUCCACUCUGGCUGGAAUCCGGUGGAUACAGCAGUAUUUACAGUUUGCCAGAACAGUUCUCCACAGUCACUGUCCAUGUGGGUCAGUGGGACCAAGAAGUACUCUGACCAGCAACAUCCAGCAAGACCCAGACAACGUUUUCUAUCUCCCAGCUGGAGUUUUUUGUUUGUCUGUGACCGGAGAGUCAGAUUUUUGUCGAGGCUGGAGGAACAGCCUCACACUUGCAGAGGUUAAUACACGCUACUGAUCCCUGAUGGGAGAAUCAUCACCUCUGCCAACAAAGAAGCCUGGUGGAUGAUUGUUUACAGUCUGAUGAUGGGACAUCAUGCUCUGCAUCUUCAAAGAGUGUUUCUGAGUGAGGGAGAGAGGAGUCAUCAACCAGCUUCAAAGAAAACAUCCAGAUGGGCAGGAUAUCACUAUUGGACUGUCUAACCUGCCAGAGCAGCAUUGAGUGACCACCACACAUGAGCAUGUUCCUGCAACAUUCAGCAUCUGAUCCUUCAUCUGUGUGCUUCUGCUUUUGGUAAGUAGAGUUACCUAACUACAGUAAUUCUAAACAUAUGCCAUCCAUUUCUAACGGCCUGGUUACUUCCUGUCAGUUAUUUUAGGAACACUGUUUCUUCUUGUUCCCCUUAAUGUUGAAGUGUCAAAUGUCAAAAACGUUUCAUUGUGACAUCACCAAAGACAGCCCCGCCCACCUAAGGACCUCGCCGUGGUCAUGAUGAUUAUAAUGAUGACAGUAAGCGGAAAUAAGACUGUAAAAAUCCACGACCAGAAUGUUUAGAUGCUUUCUAAUUAUUAAUGAAUACUGAGAGCCUCUUUCUGUAUUUUGU
Molecule: long non-coding RNA, 838 nt
Organism: Oreochromis aureus
Lineage: Eukaryota; Metazoa; Chordata; Actinopteri; Cichliformes; Cichlidae
Exons: 5
Source: RefSeq, a predicted model, not a curated record